GAUGAACGCUGGCGGCGUGCCUAAUACAUGCAAGUCGAGCGAACGGACGAGAAGCUUGCUUCUCUGAUGUUAGCGGCGGACGGGUGAGUAACACGUGGAUAACCUACCUAUAAGACUGGGAUAACUUCGGGAAACCGGAGCUAAUACCGGAUAAUAUUUUGAACCGCAUGGUUCAAAAGUGAAAGACGGUCUUGCUGUCACUUAUAGAUGGAUCCGCGCUGCAUUAGCUAGUUGGUAAGGUAACGGCUUACCAAGGCAACGAUGCAUAGCCGACCUGAGAGGGUGAUCGGCCACACUGGAACGUAGACACGGUCCAGACUCCUACGGGAGGCAGCAGUAGGGAAUCUUCCGCAAUGGGCGAAAGCCCGACGGAGCAACGCCGCGUGAGUGAUGAAGGUCUUCGGAUCGUAAAACUCUGUUAUUAGGGAAGAACAUAUGUGUAAGUAACUGUGCACAUCUUGACGGUACCUAAUCAGAAAGCCACGGCUAACUACGUG
This 497-nucleotide ribosomal RNA is filed under the name uncultured bacterium. RNAcentral describes it as "partial 16S ribosomal RNA". It matches the Rfam family "Bacterial small subunit ribosomal RNA", at positions 28 to 507 of the family's 1533-position model. The record is from RNAcentral.